CUACACCCACUCAACUAAAGAUGGACUAAACAAGGAACGGUAGGACUAGACACAUCGCAAUUCGUAAACUUACCUCGUGUAUAUCCGUAGGGGGCCAAGUAAAAUCUCAGUGAACCAACAAACUACGCAAGCACGAGCAGCCGCCCUGCCACGUUCCGCGUUGAGGCUGCGCCAAGGAGCGGCCAACCUGCCGUAAGUCCGCGUUGGGGCCGCGCGUGACUCAUGACGGAACCGAUAUUGGAGGGAGCUUUAAGUCAAGUAUACUUUCUUUUCUUUCCGUAUGUCAUGGACCGUAACUGUAACCCUCGUACCCGAUGACGAGCGUGGAGAUGGAUGUCCAUGAAAUUAACAUUCACGUACGAAUGUCUCAAGAUAGUACGUGUUAGUACAUACAUGUGGCCAGAUAGGUCUUCUAAUCCAGUGCCGGGAGAGACGGGCCCGGCGGCCGAGGGGCCUCCCGGCGUAGGCCGGACGGCGUUCAUGUGG
This 486-nucleotide ribosomal RNA is filed under the name Triticum aestivum (bread wheat). Its description in RNAcentral is "partial small subunit ribosomal RNA". The record is from RNAcentral. Lineage: Eukaryota; Viridiplantae; Streptophyta; Magnoliopsida; Poales; Poaceae.